RNAcentral lists this ribosomal RNA (468 nucleotides) under uncultured bacterium. Its description in RNAcentral is "partial 16S ribosomal RNA". It matches the Rfam family "Bacterial small subunit ribosomal RNA", at positions 28 to 507 of the family's 1533-position model. The record is from RNAcentral.
GACGAACGCUGGCGGCGUGCUUAACACAUGCAAGUCGAACGGAAAGGCCCUGCUUUUGUGGUGUGCUCGAGUGGCGAACGGGUGUAUAACACGUGAGUAACCUGCCCCUGACUUUGGGAUAACUUCAGGAAACUGGGGCUAAUACCGGAUAGGAGCUCCUGCUGCAUGGGGGGGGUUGGAAAUUUUCGGGGGUUGGGGAUGGACUCGCGGCUUGUCAGCUGGUUGGUGGGGUAGUGGCUUACCAAGGCUUUGACGGGUAGCCGGCCUGAGAGGGUGACCGGCAACAUUGGGACUGAGAUACGGCCCGGCCUCCUCCGGGAGGAAGCAGUGGGGAAUAUUGCAAAAUGGGCGGAAGCCUGAUGCAGCAACGCCGCGUGCGGGAUGACGGCCUUCGGUUUGUAAACCGCUUUCGCAUGUGACGAAGCGUGAGUGACGGUAAUGGGUAAAGAAGCACCGGCUAACUACGUG